AUAAGAAUCUGCCCAUUGUCAUAGGGACUGAACAAAAGGGCACCCAAUUCAGUGGUGGACAAGUGCCGCUAUGGAAGAAGGUGCUGAAUCAGCCAUUCAUCUCAGAUUAGUCCGUGAAGUUGAGCCUGAACCUUCAUCUGGACUCAACUCGUUCUCCACCUAUGGAAUCGGAACAUCACCAUUUGUUUCAGAGUUCUACAGCAGAACAUAACAAGAAUAUGAAUGCAGAUUUUCAGAUCUGAAGUAUGCUUGCUUUUGCAAGCCUUUUGAAUAUCAUCUGCCAGGCUCCUUUCCCAGGCUCCUUCUCCAAUUUCACAGAAUCAUAGAAUCACAGAAUUGCGGGGAUUGGAAGGGACCUCAAGAGACCAUCAAGGCCAACCCCCUGCUAAAGCAAGUACCCUGCAGUAGGUCACACAGCAGUGGAUGACCGAGUCUAGCUUCAGUAGUCACUGAGAGCACCUCUCUUUUCUUCCUGUAGAAGUAAGGACACUGAGCAGCCCGCAGCUGUCUGAAGUUGCAGUUGGAGGAAAAAUACUUCUCAGCUUAGCUUGCAGCUGGAAUAUGCAUGUGAACAUGAACUUACAAAGAUAUAAGGAUCCUCUUGCUAAAAUUCAGGCUUAAGUUACAAGCAUAUGAGGUAAAAUGGCAUGUUUUUCCUCAAGACUCUCAUUGAAAACAAAUUCUUUGUGUGCAAAUAUCCCUUCCCCCUCAGAAACAUUCACCUGAGGCAUAUGGCUUGUCUCAAAAAGAUUCAUCUACAUGCAUUUUGGAAUUACAGAAUCACAGAUAAGAAUAAUAUACAAGAGCCUUUGGUAGGAAAUAUUAAACAACCAGAAGAACAUUGAAUGGUUCCUCUUCUAGUAACAAUGCUACACUGCAUUCUUUCAGUUGCGUGAGGAGCCAUUCCACUCACGAGAAUUUUCCAGCAAUAUGAAAUAUCUCAGUGCUUUUGUC
Molecule: long non-coding RNA, 954 nt
Filed under: Gallus gallus (chicken)
Lineage: Eukaryota; Metazoa; Chordata; Aves; Galliformes; Phasianidae
Description: lncRNA (ENSGALG00010014342.1)
Source: RNAcentral